AUAUCCAUAAGAGGGGGGAAAGAAACCAAUAGGGAAGCGGUAAAAUCUCAAAUUUGAAAUCUGGCUCUUCUAGAGUCCGAGUUGUAAUUUGAAGAUGGUACUCUGGUCCAGGCAUAUGCCCCUUGGAACAGGGCGGCACUCCCGUUCUGCUUGGGUGCCAAUCCUAUGUAGCGUGCCUUCGAAGAGUGGAGUUUGUUUGGGAAUGCAGCUCUAAGUGAGUGGUAAACACCAUCUAAAGCUAAGUAUUGGCGAGAGACCGAUGUCGAACAAGUACAGUGAUGGGAAGAUGAAGAGAACUUUGAAAAGAGAGUGACAUAGUAC
This 321-nucleotide ribosomal RNA is filed under the name uncultured fungus. RNAcentral's name for it is "eukaryotic LSU rRNA". It matches the Rfam family "Eukaryotic large subunit ribosomal RNA", at positions 40 to 398 of the family's 3401-position model. The record is from RNAcentral. Lineage: Eukaryota; Fungi.